Molecule: long non-coding RNA, 1332 nt
Filed under: Vulpes vulpes (red fox)
Lineage: Eukaryota; Metazoa; Chordata; Mammalia; Carnivora; Canidae
Description: lncRNA (ENSVVUG00000028912.1)
Source: RNAcentral
UACUGCCUUUGUCUGGCGGGAGGGCGGCCGCCGCGGGGCGCGGGCCUAAUCCCCAGGAUGGGGCCUCGGGGGCGGGAGGCAUUCCCGGGCGGCCGCCCACCCUCCCACCGACCCGGGAGUCUUCCAGCCUUCGGGGGCCUCGCCGUCUAGCUUUGGGGUCGCGGGGCCCGCGUCCCCUCCCAGCCCCGUGUGCCCUUGAGGGGCCCGCGGGGGUCCGAUCCCACCUGCUGCGGGUGGGCGCACCUGCGCUCCGGCGGCCGGGAGCGGUCCGGCCGGCUCAGGCCGCGGCCUCCAGCGCGCUGCUCCCCCGCAUCGCGCUCCGUGCCGCGCCUCGGCCGGAGGUGGCGCUCUGUGCGCCCGGCGGAUCCCGGCGUGGGAGGCUCCGGCUCCGGCUCCGGGGGUUUCUCGCCAGCCGCGCCUAGCUCUCCUUUCCCUUCCGCCCCCUCGAGUUCCUGGCUCAGGCCGCAGCCCAGCCUUCCACGAGGGAGUGGGGAUCAGAUACGCCGCAGCCCCCUCCUCCGACCUGGGCGCUCUCCCAUCUCGGGAUGCUGGUGGAAGUGCCUCAUUCAGACGCCCCAGGCAUCGGAUUCUGGGCGGGGGCGCGUGGCCGCCGCCAGGUGAGUGCCCCGGACGCGCCCCUGCGGCCGCCCCACCUCUCACCAGACACUCACUCCCCCUCCUUUUAUGGAGACGGGGAGGCAGGGGCCCUGGAUCCUCACGGUGGAAAGAGGCCCGAGCGCCGCGCCGGGGCGGGGGGCCGGAGGCGGGGGCCGGUUCGCGUUUGCCCUUUUUGGCGCAGCAGCUCUGGGCGCUGCCCGCUGCCGCCGCUGGGGCCCGAGGGAGGCGAGCCGGCGACGGCAGCGCUUCUGCGGCGGCCUCCUCCCCUCCCCGUCCGAUGCCGCAGGAUUGCAGCUGGCACUGGAGGGAGCCCGGCUGGAGCGCCCGCCCCGCGGCCUCGCCUCCCCGCCGAGCCGCCAGCGCCUCGGGACGCGAUGAGGACCUGGGCUUGCCUGCUACUCCUCGGCUGCGGAUACCUCGCCCAUGCCCUGGCCGAGGUGGGUGCCACCCCCGCGCCCCGUCCCCUCUCCGACUCCCCCGGCGCACGCCCCCUGCGGCCGCCGGCGGGCCGGGGCCCCUGGGGCUCCGGGGCUCUGGCGAGCGCAUUUUGGUUUCUGCUGGGGCGGUCGGGUUCUUGCUCUUCCCCACUGGCUGUUCUUUUCUGCCAUGCCGAAGUGUGUCUGGUGAGUUUCCAGCGUGUUGCGUCGCUGUGCCGUGGAGGCACGGAGUGGCGCGGGGUGGACGAGUGGGGAGAAAGUUCGGGGGGCGCGGGCU